This is a non-coding RNA of Novosphingobium subterraneum, 55 nucleotides long. NCBI's taxonomy places the organism in Bacteria, Pseudomonadati, Pseudomonadota, Alphaproteobacteria, Sphingomonadales, Sphingomonadaceae. The record is from Rfam.
GACGGACCCGGAUUGAUUCGGGUGGCUCGGCCCGGCGCCUAUCCCCGGGAUAACC